CUGCUGCCUGGAAGCCGCCGAGGAGGGGAGGGAGGGCCCGUGUGACACCCUGGAUCCAGUAACUGGGCAGGCAGAACCUGGAGACUCCCGUUACCUGCACCCCACUCCUGGCCCAAGAAUCGGGCAGCCCCAAGAAAACAACGCUUGAAGAAGCCAGGACCUGGUCAGCGGGGGACAUGCGCAGUCCUGGCGUCUUUCCAGAGAGACCCUGGAGCAGAUAGGAAUUUGAGGCCCAAGAAGGCCGGGUCACACUCCGAGUCCCAUGGGGCGGAGCCGUGGAUUUGCUAUUUGAGAGAGUCUCCAGCGGAAGUCAGAAAUUCACCGUCAGGCUUCUCCAACAGGACGUUUUCGGGGACCCAGACAGAGCUGGAUGGAAAACCUGAGUCACUCUGACAUCACGUCCUGUGGUCCCAGCACGGCCGUGGCAGAAACUUGGCUAAAAUGUCACACUGGUCACCUGCUCUCUGCAGAAGCCACUGCCAGAGGGGCAGGGGCCGCAUUCGCUGGGCCUGCUGGUUGUGGACAGAGCAGAUUCUCCGGGCCAGGGCUGGAGCCCAGGGCUCCCCGGUGAGGCGCUGGGGUGUGGGUGGGGACGAGGUGUCUGUGCCCAGGCUUGGCUUCUGAUGGCUCACAGGGUGGGGCCUCCGCGCGCUGGUGCCUGGCGUGUACCCUUGUUUCUCUUUCAUAGGACAGAGAGAAGAAACGGUUGCAAUUUUGAGCCCCUUGGAUCCAGUUUCUGCGGGAAUUGUGGCGAAGCACUCAGAAGGCUGAGGCAGGAAGACCUCCAGAAGUUCAAGUCUGAGGCCAGCCUGGGCUACAAAG
Long non-coding RNA from Fukomys damarensis (Damara mole-rat), 822 nucleotides. RefSeq lists it as uncharacterized. NCBI's taxonomy places the organism in Eukaryota, Metazoa, Chordata, Mammalia, Rodentia, Bathyergidae. The record is from RefSeq and is a predicted model, not a curated record. The transcript has 3 exons.